CUGACUGUUUCAAAAGCUUGUA
This 22-nucleotide microRNA is filed under the name Caenorhabditis elegans. Its description in RNAcentral is "cel-miR-231-5p". Its record names the gene cel-miR-231-5p. The record is from miRBase by way of RNAcentral. Lineage: Eukaryota; Metazoa; Nematoda; Chromadorea; Rhabditida; Rhabditidae.